GUUUGGGAAAGAGAAUAUUGGAAUUCAUAUUUCUUUAAAUCAUUCUUUUAAACUUUUAAUUUUUAUGUAGUUUUAGUACAUCUUAUUUGCUAGUACUGUGUCAUCUUUUUGGCUGUAUUUUUCACUGGCUGCCACCUGGCCAAAUCACCACUUGGGUUAUAACAGCAGCCUCUGACUGGUCUCCUUCCGUCUGACCUUGGCCCCUGCACUCUACUCUCAACGUAGCUCUCAGAGUGAUGGAACUCAGAACUUGUCACUCCUGCUCAAAAACUUCCAGUUUCACCCAGGGGAAGUAUCAAGGUGACAUGAGGGGACAGGAAAUAUUGUCCCUAAAUGUUCUAAGAGUGGAUCUCCCAUGUAUUCAAGCAAUCGAGGGGUGUUUAAUGAGCUCCAUCUACAUAGCAAUGAUACAGCAUAGCUCUGCUGGGGCUCUCUGCUCUCCCCUUCUCCACAAAAGGGAAGGACAGGUAAGAACAGGCACAAUAAAAUAGAAACCAGACAGAAAGAAUUGGGAACAAGGAGACAAGACAAGAAUCAUGCUUUACGUGAUUUAAUCCUAAUAUUUUUAUGAGAGGAUGGCUAUCAUCAUUUCAUUUUAAAGAUGAGGAAAAUGAAGCCGGGUGCGGUGGCUCAUGCCUGUAAUCCCAGCACUUUGGAAGGCCGAGGAAGAUGGCUCACCUGAGGUCAGGAGUUCGAGACCAGCCUGGCCAGAGAGAUGGCCAGAGAUGGCUAGAGAUGGUUGCUGCAAAUGCCAUUAUUUCAUUCCUUUUUAUGGCUGAGUAGUAUUCCAUGAGGGAAGGAAUUAGGAGCGGGAAGGAGAUUGACUGUUAGUUUCUUAGGAUUGGACUAACAAAAGUGGAGGUUGUUACUUACACUGCAAAAGAAACAACCAGAGCUGUGUCACUCAGAAGGCUGAAAAGAAUCAGGCUGACAGCAUAAUGCAGUGAAGAUGGGUGAAGAGAGAUGUGUUUCAUCUGAAAUUUGAAGGGCUUUACAACUCUUCUCCUUUAACUAACUUACCAUCCUUUAACUAACUUACCACCCAAAAUGAAUUCUGUAGCCUUUGUCA
RNAcentral lists this long non-coding RNA (1069 nucleotides) under Homo sapiens (human). RNAcentral's name for it is "ANKRD44 intronic transcript 1 (ANKRD44-IT1)". The record is from RNAcentral. Lineage: Eukaryota; Metazoa; Chordata; Mammalia; Primates; Hominidae.